RNAcentral lists this non-coding RNA (23 nucleotides) under Arabidopsis thaliana (thale cress). Lineage: Eukaryota; Viridiplantae; Streptophyta; Magnoliopsida; Brassicales; Brassicaceae. The record is from RNAcentral.
UUGAUGGUAUCUUUUAGGCAAUA